Long non-coding RNA from Ornithorhynchus anatinus (platypus), 402 nucleotides. RefSeq lists it as uncharacterized. Lineage: Eukaryota; Metazoa; Chordata; Mammalia; Monotremata; Ornithorhynchidae. The record is from RefSeq and is a predicted model, not a curated record. The transcript is spliced from 2 exons.
AAAGGUCAGUAUCCCAUCCCAGGAGGAGUUAACCAAAGCGAAGGGGUUGUUUUUCUCUAGUCUCAGAGUCAUCCACUUGAGUCAAUGCCAACGGGCCCGUGUCGCCUGGUGUCUGAACAGGCCGCUCUGCCGCAUCUCCUCGAAAUGUGAAGGAUGCAAGCACGACUUGCCCUUUUUAAGAGGGUGAUUUGGGGGGCACUGGUUUUCGGCGCCUUUCUUCUCCUCCAGAAGGCAUCUCUCUUCCCCGGAGGGACGGUUUUCCUUCAAAUCCCUUCGUCCUGACAGGUCCAGAAGGACAACAACCCUGGCCCUGGACCAAAAGGACUUGGCCCUUUCCCCCAUCCCAGAUCGGAGUAUCAGGCUGGGGCUGGGUCCUGUUCAAUAAAGGAUGCAAACACUAAA